This 341-nucleotide ribosomal RNA is filed under the name uncultured archaeon. Its description in RNAcentral is "partial 16S ribosomal RNA". It matches the Rfam family "Archaeal small subunit ribosomal RNA", at positions 133 to 475 of the family's 1478-position model. The record is from RNAcentral.
CGGGAAACUGGGGAUAAUUCCGGAUAGAUUAUAGACGCUGGAAUGCCCUGUAAUCGAAAGCUUUUGUGCCUAAGGAUGGGUCUGCGGUCUAUCAGGUUGUAGUGGGUGUAACGUACCUACUAGCCUACGACGGAUACGGGUUGUGGGAGCAAGAGCCCGGAGAUGGAUUCUGAGACAUGAAUCCAGGCCCUACGGGGCGCAGCAGGCGCGAAAACUUUACAAUGCGGGAAACCGCGAUAAGGGGACACCGAGUGCCAGCAUCCUAUGUUGGCUGUCCAUAUGUAUAAAUCACAUGUGUUAGCAAGGGCCGGGCAAGACCGGUGCCAGCCGCCGCGGUAACA